AUAAAGGAUGUUCAAUAUAAUGACACACGAGAAAGACAGGAAUUGGCAAAACUGUCCCAGCAGCUGCCCUGCUAAGCCUUGUGGCCACUGGAACAUCCUUUAGCAAACAGUGUUAGUUUUGGUCAUUGGGCAGAAAGGUCCUGCAAAUACAGGAAGAGGAGCAAGGGGAGAACAAAUGGAUUCUUUCACUUCUGCAGAAGGCUUCAGCUUGGAUUCAGUUGAGAGGUACAUGGUGGCUGAUUUUUGCAAUCAAGCUGAGGAGUUUUCAUCUUAAGCUUGGACCUUCAUAGCUGAUCAUGGCAGCUGACUUCUGUUUCCAAAUCAACUAUCCUCGCUCUGGGGAGCUGUGGAAACAGGCUCAGCACAAGCACCAAAGAGUACAGAGCUAGAAAGCAGAGGAAAAAGGAUUUGAACCUGACUCUUUCUAACUCCAAGAAGCAGGAUACACAUUCUUCUCAAGUGCACGUGAGACAUUCUCCAGGAUAGAUCAUAUGUUAGGCCACAAAACAAGUCUCAACAAAUUUAAGAAGAUUGAAAUAAUAUCAAGUAUCUUUUCUAACCACAAUGGUAUGAUAGAAAUUAAUAACAGGAGGAAUUCUGGACAAUUCACAAAUAUGUGGAAAUUAAAUGACAUGCUCCUGAACAAUCAACCAAUGGGUCAAAGAAGAAAUGUAAAGGAAAAUUUAAAAAUAUCUUGAGACAAAUGAAGAUGGAAACACAACAUACUGAGACUUAUAGGAUGCAGCAAAAGCAGUUUCUAAGAGGAAAGUUUACAGCAAUACAUGCCUACAUUAAAAAAGAAGCAUCUCAAAUAAACAACUUAAUGUCAUACCUCAGUAAACAAGAAAAAAGUAAAAAUUAAACCCAAAAUUAGAAGAACAAAGGAAAUAACAAAGAUCAGAGCAGAAAUAAAUGAAAUAGAGACUAGAAAACAAUAGAUAAACAAAGUGAAUAAUUGGUUUUCAAAAACAUAAACAAAAUUGACAAAACUUUAGCUAGAUUAACAAAGAAAAAUAAGUAAAAUUAGAAGUGAAAGAGGGAACAUUACAACUGAUACCACAGAAAUACACAGAAUCAUAAGGGACUACUAUGAAUAAUUACACAGCAGCAAAUUGGAUAACCUAGAAGAAAUGGGUAAAUUCCUGGAAACAUAUGACAUGCUAAGACUGAAUCAUGAAGAAAUAGAAAAUCUGAACAGAUCAAUAAUGAGUAAGGAGAUUGAACCAGAAAUAAAAAUAUUCCAUCAAAGAAAAACUCAGGGAUUGCUUCAAGGCUAAAUUCUACCAAACAUUUAAAGAAGAAUUAAUACCAGUUUUCUCAAGCUCUUCCAAAAAAAUUGAAGAGGAGGAAUUCUUCUAAACUCAUUUUACAAGCCAACAUUACCCUGACACCAAAGCCAGACAACGACACGGCAAGAAAAGACAAUUACAGGCCUAUAUGCCUAAUGAACAAAGAUGCAAAAAUCUUCCACAAAAUAUGAGCAAACCAAAUUCAAUAGCACAUUAAAAAGACCAUUCACCAUAAUCAAGUGGGAUUUAUCUUUGGGAUGCAAAGAUAGUUUGACAUAUGCAAAUCAAGAAUUGUAAUAUACUGCAUUAACAGAAUGAAGGAAAAAAACAUAUGAUUAUCUCAGUAGAUGCACAAAAAGCAUUUGACAAAGUUCAACAUCUUUUCAUGAUACAAACUCAACAAACUAGAUAAUGUACUUCAACACAAUAAAUGCCAUAUAUAAUAAGCCCACAGCUAACAUCAUACUAGUGCAAAGUUAAAAACUUUUCCUCUAAGAUCUGGAACAAGACAAGGAUGCCCACUCUCACCAUUUCUAUUCAACAUAAUACUGGAAAUCCUAGCCAAAGCAAUUAGGCAAGAAAAAUAAAAGGUAUCCAAAUUAUGAAAAAGUUAAAUUGUCUCUGCUCAUAGAUGACAUGAUUUUCUUUCUAGGAAACCCUAAAACUGUCACACACAAAAAAAAACUUGUUAGAAUAAAUGAAUGCAGUAAAGUUACAAGAAACAAAUCAACAUACAAAAAUCAGUAGUAUUUCUAUUGCUCACAUUAGAAGCUUUCCUCAUAUGUCUGAUGGUCUUUGGUUAUGUUUACAUGUUUGAGGCACUAAAAAACUGAUUAAAGUCUUCAAAACAUG
Long non-coding RNA from Gorilla gorilla gorilla (western lowland gorilla), 2141 nucleotides. RefSeq lists it as uncharacterized. The record is from RefSeq and is a predicted model, not a curated record. The transcript is spliced from 4 exons. NCBI's taxonomy places the organism in Eukaryota, Metazoa, Chordata, Mammalia, Primates, Hominidae.